Molecule: ribosomal RNA, 518 nt
Filed under: Metschnikowia sp. (in: budding yeasts & allies)
Lineage: Eukaryota; Fungi; Ascomycota; Pichiomycetes; Serinales; Metschnikowiaceae
Description: eukaryotic LSU rRNA
Rfam family: Eukaryotic large subunit ribosomal RNA
Source: RNAcentral
AUGAGGAAAAGAAACCAACAGCGAUAGCCUCAGUAACGGCGAGUGCAGCGGCAAAAGCUCAAAUUUGAAAUCCCCCGGGAAUUGUAAUUCUGAAGAGAUUUGGGUCCGGCCGGCAGGGGUUAAGUCCACUGGAAAGUGGCGCCACAGAGGGUGACAGCCCCGUGAACCCCUUCAACGCCCUCAUCCCAGAUCUCCAAGAGUCGAGUUGUUUGGGAAUGCAGCUCUAAGUGGGUGGUAAAUUCCAUCUAAAGCUAUAUACCGGCGAGAGACCGAUAGCGAACUAGUACAGUGAUGGAAAGAUCAUUAGCACUUUGAAAAGAGAGUGAAAAAGUACGUGAAAUUGUUGAAAGGGAAGGGCUUGCAAGCAGACACUUAACUGGGCCAGCAUCGGGGCGGCGGGAAACAAAACCACCGGGGAAUGUACCUUUCGAGGAUUAUAACCCCGGUCUCUAUUUCCUUGCUGCCCCGAGGCCUGCAAUCUAAGGAUGCUGGCGUAAUGGUUGCAAGUCGCCCGUCUA